UACGUAGGGGCGAGCGUUGUCCGGAAUGAUUGGGCGUAAAGGGCGCGCAGGCGGCCUGUCAAGUCAGUAGUGGAAGUCCAUUCUUCAAGGAUGGAAGUGCUAUAGAAACUGAUGGGCUUGAGUGCAGGAGAGGUUAUCGGAAUUCUCGGUGUAGCGGUGAAAUGCGUAGAGAUCGGGAGGAACACCAGUGGCGAAGGCGGGUAACUGGACUGCAACUGACGCUGAGGCGCGAAAGUGUGGGGAGCAAACAGGAUUAGA
Molecule: ribosomal RNA, 258 nt
Filed under: uncultured prokaryote
Description: partial 16S ribosomal RNA
Rfam family: Bacterial small subunit ribosomal RNA
Source: RNAcentral